AAAAGGUUAAGAUCCACUUUUUACCAGAACCAGUACUUCUCUACUGUAAGCUAAUCAGGUGACGUCAGUACAAGCUAGUUAAUAUUGAAACCUAAAGCCUUUGUCGUAGUAGAAUUGGAAAUUUUGUGUAUGGGGGCGGGUCUUGCAGCGCUUAAUAAUGAUUGACGGGUAAACGCGCCAAACAGCAACUGUGUCUGUGUACCGCAACCACAGGUCGCUGUUGCAGUCAACAUCUGACGGGUUCAGCUUGUUCCCUCGGUUGCAGUGCUGUGUUCACUGAGCAGUGUGUGUUAUCCAGAAGCUUAAUUUCACAACCUGCUGAUCUCAGACCUGUGUGGGAGAAAACAGGUGCUUGAGGGCCUUCAGCCAAUAACACGCCUCCCCAAGUGUGACAACACCCUACUUCAUGAAGACCACCACCAAAUGUGCCAGAGGGACUCCGGGUGUGUAUGACGGUGGCUGGCCGGCUCUGCCUAACACAAAACAAGCACGACGUUGGAAAUCAAGACUCGUGGAUUGUGCAAAUCAAAUGUUGUCAUUGUUGGUUUGGCUUUGGAAGCACACUUACAGGUAAGUUUUUACAGGUAAGUGCUCUUUUUAAGGAAUAGUUCAGCCAAAAAUACAAAUCUGGUCACCGUUUACUCAAUUUUAAGUCAUUUCAGACCCAAAUUGCUUUCUUUCUUCUGUGGAACAUGAAAGGUUAUAUUGGCCACUCUUUUAGGAUUUGAAAGAAAUCCACCUUUUGUGAGGCACAGAAAAAAGUCAUGCGAGUUUGAAAUGACACGAGGCUAAGAGAUGAAACACCUGGACCACAACAAUUUUGCCAAACUAUAGAAAAUGGAAGAUAAUGGAGAAGAAAAUAGCGACAACAUUUAAGGCCAGUGUGAAAACAAGAUGACAGAAGGAAGGGAUAUUACAGGGUCAUCUUUUGUUUCCAAUGUUGUAAAGACAGAUGCACAUUAAAACACAAAACACAAUUCCAAAAAUAUCAGCAUGCUGCAUCCAAUUAAAGUCAUUUGUUUUUCAUUCAUUUUGCAGACACUGUUAUCCAAAGCAGAGAGCAUAGUACACAAGCUAAUUUUGCCUUAAAUAUAAUAUAAACUAUCUGUUUGUUUGCAUUUUUUUUUAUUAGAAAAGGUAAUGUAAUGUAAGUUUUAUGAAGUAAGAUUUCCCCCGUUCAUGUUUCCGCCCUCACUGAAAGUGCACGUGUAUCCGGAGAGAUUUCAUGUCCCUUUAUUAGAUUAGUGAACAGAAACAGAUUUAUGAAGUGUGUCAGUUUCACCGCAGGUUUGUUUAUUACCCAUUGUUGGUCAGGUUUAAGUGAAUUUGUGUGUGCAGUAACAUAUAGACAUAAUGGACACCGAAUGGGCACACAUAUGACACCUGAUAUGUUUCUGCUGAGCACCCGGGGCGAAUGAUUGAUGAAAAAGACCACAAAUGUUACAGGCUUUAUUGUGCCUGUAGCAACACACA
This is a non-coding RNA of Misgurnus anguillicaudatus (oriental weatherfish), 1473 nucleotides long. The record is from RefSeq and is a predicted model, not a curated record. Lineage: Eukaryota; Metazoa; Chordata; Actinopteri; Cypriniformes; Cobitidae.